This 253-nucleotide ribosomal RNA is filed under the name uncultured bacterium. RNAcentral describes it as "partial 16S ribosomal RNA". It matches the Rfam family "Bacterial small subunit ribosomal RNA", at positions 524 to 776 of the family's 1533-position model. The record is from RNAcentral.
CACGUAGGCACCAAGCGUUGUCCGGAUUUAUUGGGCGUAAAGAGCUCGUAGGCGGUUUAGUAAGUCAGACGUGAAAUCCCUCAGCUUAACUGGGGGACUGCGUCUGAUACUGGGUGGCUUGAGUGCAGGAGAGGAAUGCGGAAUUCCAGGUGUAGCGGUGAAAUGUGUAGAUAUCUGGAGGAACACCGGUGGCGAAGGCGGCAUUCUGGACUGUAACUGACACUGAGGAACGAAAGCCAGGGGAGCAAACGGG